CCUACGGGAGGCAGCAGUAUUUACUAUUUCUCCCUUUUUUCCCCCCUGCCGCCGCCCCGCCGCGUGGAGGAUGAAGGUUUUCGGAUUGUAAACUCCUUUUGUUAGAGAAGAUAAUGACGGUAUCUAACGAAUAAGCACCGGCUAACUCCGUGCCAGCAGCCGCGGUAAUACGGAGGGUGCAAGCGUUACUCGGAAUCACUGGGCGUAAAGAGCGCGUAGGCGGGAUAGCAAGUCAGAUGUGAAAUCCUAUGGCUUAACCAUAGAACUGCAUGUGAAACUGUUAUUAUAGAGUAUGGGAGAGGUAGGUGGAAUGCUUGGUGUAGGGGUAAAAUGCGUAGAGAUCAAGAGGAAUACUCAUUGCGAAGGCGACCUGCUAGAACAUAACUGACGCUGAUGCGCGAAAGCGUGGGGAGCAAACAGGAUUAGAUACCCCGGUAGUC
Molecule: ribosomal RNA, 440 nt
Filed under: uncultured bacterium
Lineage: Bacteria
Description: partial 16S ribosomal RNA
Rfam family: Bacterial small subunit ribosomal RNA
Source: RNAcentral